This 327-nucleotide ribosomal RNA is filed under the name uncultured eukaryote. RNAcentral's name for it is "partial 18S ribosomal RNA". It matches the Rfam family "Eukaryotic small subunit ribosomal RNA", at positions 1470 to 1796 of the family's 1831-position model. The record is from RNAcentral.
CCCUUAGAUGUUCUGGGCCGCACGCGCGCUACACUGACGAAUGCAACGAGCUUAUAACCUUGGCCGAAAGGUCUGGGUAAUCUCCAAAUUUCGUCGUGAUGGGGAUAGAUUAUUGCAAUUAUUAAUCUCCAACGAGGAAUGCCUAGUAAGCGCAAGUCAUCAGCUUGCGUUGAUUACGUCCCUGCCCUUUGUACACACCGCCCGUCGCUCCUACCGAUUGAAUGGUCCGGUGAAGCGUUCGGACCGUGGCCUUUGGACGGUUCGCCGUCUGUUGGCUGCGGGAAGUUCGUUAAACCUUAUCAUUUAGAGGAAGGAGAAGUCGUAACA